Molecule: ribosomal RNA, 445 nt
Filed under: uncultured bacterium
Lineage: Bacteria
Description: partial 16S ribosomal RNA
Rfam family: Bacterial small subunit ribosomal RNA
Source: RNAcentral
CCAGACUCCUACGGGAGGCAGCAGUGGGGAAUAUUGCACAAUGGGGGAAACCCUGAUGCAGCGACGCCGCGUGAGUGAGGAAGUAUUUCGGUAUGUAAAGCUCUAUCAGCAGGGAAGAAAAUGACGGUACCUGACUAAGAAGCCCCGGCUAACUACGUGCCAGCAGCCGCGGUAAUACGUAGGGGGCAAGCGUUAUCCGGAUUUACUGGGUGUAAAGGGAGCGUAGACGGCGAUGCAAGUCUGAAGUGAAAGGCGGGGGCCCAACCCCCGGACUGCUCUUGGAACUGCGUGGCUAGAGUGCAGGAGGGGCAGGCGGAAUUCCUGGUGUAGCGGUGAAAUGCGUAGAUAUCAGGAGGAACACCGGUGGCGAAGGCGGCCUGCUGGACUGCAACUGACGUUGAGGCCCGAAAGCGUGGGGAGCAAACAGGAUUAGAUACCCUUGUAC